This 450-nucleotide ribosomal RNA is filed under the name uncultured bacterium. RNAcentral describes it as "bacterial SSU rRNA". It matches the Rfam family "Bacterial small subunit ribosomal RNA", at positions 29 to 524 of the family's 1533-position model. The record is from RNAcentral.
AACGAACGCUGGCGGCAUGCCUAACACAUGCAAGUCGAACGAGACCUUCGGGUCUAGUGGCGCACGGGUGCGUAACGCGUGGGAAUCUGCCCUUGGGUUCGGAAUAACAGUUAGAAAUGACUGCUAAUACCGGAUAAUGUCUUCGGACCAAAGAUUUAUCGCCCAGGGAUGAGCCCGCGUAGGAUUAGCUAGUUGGUGAGGUAAAGGCUCACCAAGGCGACGAUCCUUAGCUGGUCUGAGAGGAUGAUCAGCCACACUGGGACUGAGACACGGCCCAGACUCCUACGGGAGGCAGCAGUGGGGAAUAUUGGACAAUGGGCGAAAGCCUGAUCCAGCAAUGCCGCGUGAGUGAUGAAGGCCUUAGGGUUGUAAAGCUCUUUUACCCGGGAAGAUAAUGACUGUACCGGGAGAAUAAGCCCCGGCUAACUCCGUGCCAGCAGCCGCGGUAAU